This 528-nucleotide ribosomal RNA is filed under the name Phaeocollybia spadicea. RNAcentral describes it as "eukaryotic LSU rRNA". It matches the Rfam family "Eukaryotic large subunit ribosomal RNA", at positions 66 to 593 of the family's 3401-position model. Lineage: Eukaryota; Fungi; Basidiomycota; Agaricomycetes; Agaricales; Phaeocollybiaceae. The record is from RNAcentral.
UAACAAGGAUUCCCCUAGUAACUGCGAGUGAAGAGGGAAAAGCUCAAAUUUAAAAUCUGGCGGCCUUAGGUUGUCCGAGUUGUAAUCUAGAGAAGUGUCAUCCGCGCCGGACCGUGUACAAGUCUCCUGGAACGGAGCGUCAUAGAGGGUGAGAAUCCCGUCUUCGACACGGACUACCGGGGCUUUGUGAUGCGCUCUCAAAGAGUCGAGUUGUUUGGGAAUGCAGCUCAAAAUGGGUGGUAAAUUCCAUCUAAAGCUAAAUAUUGGCGAGAGACCGAUAGCGAACAAGUACCGUGAGGGAAAGAUGAAAAGAACUUUGGAAAGAGAGUUAAACAGUACGUGAAAUUGCUGAAAGGGAAACGCUUGAAGUCAGUCGCGUUGGUCGAGAAUCAGCCUUGCUUUUGCAUGGCUUAUUUCGCGGCUCAACGGGUCAGCAUCAAUUUUGAUCACUGGAUAAAGAUGAGAGGAAUGUGGCAUCUUCGGAUGKGUUAUAGCCUUUUGUUGCAUACAGUGGUUGGUAUUGAGGAA